RNAcentral lists this ribosomal RNA (814 nucleotides) under uncultured bacterium. RNAcentral's name for it is "bacterial SSU rRNA". It matches the Rfam family "Bacterial small subunit ribosomal RNA", at positions 58 to 911 of the family's 1533-position model. The record is from RNAcentral.
CAAGUCGAACGAGAAACCCGCAAGGGUGGAAAGUGGCGGAAGGGUCAGUAACGCGAUCGAAUGUGCCCCGAGGUGGGGGAUAGGCAGGGGAAACUCUGCGNUAAUACCCCAUGUGUUCCCCGGAACAAAGAUUUAUCGCCUUGGGAGCAGCGGUCGUCCUAUCAGGUAGUUGGCGGGGUAAAAGCCCACCAAGCCGAAGACGGGUAGCGGGUGUGAGAGCACGGCCCGCGACAUCGGGACUGAGACACUGCCCGGACUCCUACGGGAGGCUGCAGUAACGAAUAUUCCGCAAUGGGCGCAAGCCUGACGGAGCAAUGCCGCGUGCAGGAUGAAGCGGCUUCGCCGUGUAAACUGCUGUCAGGGGACAGAAACACUGAUCGUCCCCAGAGGAAGAGACGGCUAACCCUGUGCCAGCAGCCGCGGUAAGACAGGGGUCUCGAGCGUUAAUCGGAAUUACUGGGCUUAAAGGGUGCGUAGGCGGCCGCGCAAGUGUCCCGUGAAAUCCCCCGGCUUAACCGGGGAACUGCGGGGCAAACUGCGCGGCUCGAGGAAGGUAGAGGCCGGUGGAACGAUAGGUGGAGCGGUGGAAUGCGUAGAGAUCUAUCGGAACGCCAAAGGUGAAGACAGCCGGCUGGGCCUUUCCUGACGCUGAGGCACGAAAGCGUGGGGAGCAAACCGGAUUAGAUACCCGGGUAGUCCACGCCCUAAACGAUGCACACUAGACCGGAGCGGCUCUGACGUCGUUCUGGUCGCANAGAAAUUGGUAAGUGUGCCGCCUGGGGAGUACGGACGCAAGGCUAAACUCAAAGGAAUU